AGUCUAACAUGUGCGCGAGUCAUUGGGACUUGUUAAGCCUAAAGGCGCAAUGAAAGUGAAGGUCGACCCAAGCGUCGACCGAGGGAGGAUGGCUCGCGUCACGAUGCGAGUCCGCACUCCCGGGGCGUCUCGCGCUCACUGCGAGCGGAGGCGCACCCAGAGCGUACACGUUGGGACCCGAAAGAUGGUGAACUAUGCCUGGUCAGGACGAAGUCAGGGGAAACCCUGAUGGAGGUCCGUAGCGAUUCUGACGUGCAAAUCGAUCGUCGGAACUGGGUAUAGGGGCGAAAGACUAAUCGAACCAUCUAGUAGCUGGUUCCCUCCGAAGUUUCCCUCAGGAUAGCUGGCACUCGCUUGAGCGAGUCUCAUCUGGUAAAGCGAAUGAUUAGAGGCCUUGGGGCCGAAACGACCUCAACCUAUUCUCAAACUUUAAAUGGGUGAGAUCUCUGGCUUGCUUGAACGUUGAAGCCACGAGAUUAAUUUUUGCAAUGGAUCAGAGUGCCAAGUGGGCCAAUUUUGGUAAGCAGAACUGGCGCUGUGGGA
This 543-nucleotide ribosomal RNA is filed under the name Anidarnes martinae. Its description in RNAcentral is "eukaryotic LSU rRNA". It matches the Rfam family "Eukaryotic large subunit ribosomal RNA", at positions 672 to 1163 of the family's 3401-position model. The record is from RNAcentral. Lineage: Eukaryota; Metazoa; Arthropoda; Insecta; Hymenoptera; Pteromalidae.